GAUGAACGCUGGCGGCGUGCCUAAUACAUGCAAGUCGAGCGAACAGACGAGGAGCUUGCUCCUCUGACGUUAGCGGCGGACGGGUGAGUAACACGUGGAUAACCUACCUAUAAGACUGGGAUAACUUCGGGAAACCGGAGCUAAUACCGGAUAAUAUAUUGAACCGCAUGGUUCAAUAGUGAAAGACGGUUUUGCUGUCACUUAUAGAUGGAUCCGCGCCGCAUUAGCUAGUUGGUAAGGUAACGGCUUACCGAGGCGACGAUGCGUAGCCGACCUGAGAGGGUGAUCGGCCACACUGGAACUGAGACACGGUCCAGACUCCUACGGGAGGCAGCAGUAGGGAAUCUUCCGCAAAGGGCGAAAGCCUGACGGAGCAACGCCGCGUGAGUGAUGAAGGUCUUCGGAUCGUAAAACUCUGUUAUUAGGGAAGAACAAAUGUGUAAGUAACUAUGCACGUCUUGACGGUACCUAAUCAGAAAGCCACGGCUAACUACGUG
RNAcentral lists this ribosomal RNA (497 nucleotides) under uncultured bacterium. RNAcentral describes it as "partial 16S ribosomal RNA". It matches the Rfam family "Bacterial small subunit ribosomal RNA", at positions 28 to 507 of the family's 1533-position model. The record is from RNAcentral.